GCGGAUGGAGCUGAAGCCAGUCGAAGAUACCAGCUGGCUGCAACUGUUUAAUAAAAACACAGCACUGUGCAAACACGAAAGUGGACGUAUACGGUGUGACGCCUGCCCGGUGCUGGAAGGUUAAUUGAUGGGGUCAGCCGCAAGGCGAAGCUCUUGAUCGAAGCCCCAGUAAACGGCGGCCGUAACUAUAACGGUCCUAAGGUAGCGAAAUUCCUUGUCGGGUAAGUUCCGACCUGCACGAAUGGCGUAAUGAUGGCCAGGCUGUCUCCACCCGAGACUCAGUGAAAUUGAACUCGCUGUGAAGAUGCAGUGUACCCGCGGCAAGACGGAAAGACCCCGUGAACCUUUACUAUAGCUUGACACUGAACAUUGAGCCUUGAUGUGUAGGAUAGGUGGGAGGCUUUGAAGCGUGGACGCCAGUCUGCGUGGAGCCAUCCUUGAAAUACCACCCUUUAAUGUUUGAUGUUCUAACUCGGCCCCAUAAUCUGGGGUGAGGACAGUGUCUGGUGGGUAGUUUGACUGGGGCGGUCUCCUCCCAAAGAGUAACGGAGGAGCACGAAGGUUAGCUAAUCACGGUCGGACAUCGUGAGGUUAGUGCAAAGGCAUAAGCUAGCUUGACUGCGAGAGUGACGGCUCGAGCAGGUACGAAAGUAGGUCUUAGUGAUCCGGUGGUUCUGAAUGGAAGGGCCAUCGCUCAACGGAUAAAAGGUACUCCGGGGAUAACAGGCUGAUACCGCCCAAGAGUUCAUAUCGACGGCGGUGUUUGGCACCUCGAUGUCGGCUCAUCACAUCCUGGGGCUGAAGUAGGUCCCAAGGGUAUGGCUGUUCGCCAUUUAAAGUGGUACGCGAGCUGGGUUUAGAACGUCGUGAGACAGUUCGGUCCCUAUCUGCCGUGGGCGUUGGAAGAUUGAGAGGGGUUGCUCCUAGUACGAGAGGACCGGAGUGAACGCACCACUGGUGUUCGGGUUGUCAUGCCAAUGGCAUUGCCCGGUAGCUAAGUGCGGAAAAGAUAAGCGCUGAAAGCAUCUAAGCGCGAAACUUGCCUCAAGAUGAGUCUUCCCUGGGCCUUUAAGGUCCCUGAAGGAACGUUUAAGACUAAGACGUUGAUAGGCUGGGUGUGUAAGUGCAGCGAUGCAUUGAGCUAACCAGUACUAAUGAUCCGUGAGGCUUAACCUUACAACACCGAAGGUGUUU
RNAcentral lists this ribosomal RNA (1194 nucleotides) under Serratia marcescens. RNAcentral's name for it is "bacterial LSU rRNA". It matches the Rfam family "Bacterial large subunit ribosomal RNA", at positions 1757 to 2925 of the family's 2925-position model. The record is from RNAcentral. Lineage: Bacteria; Pseudomonadati; Pseudomonadota; Gammaproteobacteria; Enterobacterales; Yersiniaceae.